UAGGGAAUCUUCCACAAUGGGCGCAAGCCUGAUGGAGCAACGCCGCGUGAGUGAAGAAGGGUUUCGGCUCGUAAAGCUCUGUUGUUGGAGAAGAACGUGCGUGAGAGUAACUGUUCACGCAGUGACGGUAUCCAACCAGAAAGUCACGGCUAACUACGUGCC
Molecule: ribosomal RNA, 162 nt
Filed under: uncultured bacterium
Lineage: Bacteria
Description: partial 16S ribosomal RNA
Rfam family: Bacterial small subunit ribosomal RNA
Source: RNAcentral